Molecule: long non-coding RNA, 595 nt
Organism: Papaver somniferum (opium poppy)
Lineage: Eukaryota; Viridiplantae; Streptophyta; Magnoliopsida; Ranunculales; Papaveraceae
Exons: 2
Source: RefSeq, a predicted model, not a curated record
AAGAAAACUUCCAUUCCAGAGACUUGUUCGUGAAAUUGCCCAGGACUUCAAGACUGAUUUGCGUUUCCAGAGUCACGCUGUGUUGGCAUUGAAAGAAGCAGCUGAAGCCUACUUGGUUGGUUUGUUUGAGGACACUAACUUGUGUGCCAUCCACGCAAAGCGUGUCACUAUCAUGCCCAAGGAUAUUCAGCUUGCUAGGAGGAUCAGAGGAGAAAGGGCUUGAUCAACCAGUGAUGAUGAUGGUGUCUGGGAGGAUGAUGUGUUUAGUAUAUGGUGUCAGUUUAUUAUACAUGUUUUUUCUUUUGGGUUGUGUUUUCUGGAAGUGCUAGUAGCGAGGAAGAAGAUCUUGAACCUAUAUGACUAUUACGUUAGGUGUUAUUUUGCUGUGGUUCUACACCACUAGUAGAACUUGAAUGACUAUUAUGUUAGGUUUUAUUUUCCAGUGCUUCCACACCAUUAGUAGUGUACAGCUGCUGUUGAGAUUGAGAAGCCUGGGAUUCUUUAUCUUGGUGGUCGUGGUUCUGCUAGUCUCUUGUGCAGCGGUUUGAAGUUUGAACCUUUGUUUCUUAAUAUAAUUCUGUUUGUUAAAUGAUGG